Molecule: long non-coding RNA, 2008 nt
Organism: Chrysemys picta bellii (western painted turtle)
Lineage: Eukaryota; Metazoa; Chordata; Testudines; Emydidae
Source: RefSeq, a predicted model, not a curated record
CGUCUACACGAGGUGCCCCGCUGUGUGUUGGGUAACGCCAGUUACUAAUCCCCCCACCCACCCCGGAAAAGCAGUGUGGUGUAAACAGGUGCUGGCUGCGCACCCAGGCAACACAUGCCGCUCCAAUAACAGGAUGAUAUGACAAUCGGAACAAAGAAGGCAGCCGCAUCCGUCCAGUCUGCCACAGCUGCUGAGGAGGAGGAUCCGGACCUUCAGCUGUGUGAUGAAUGAAAACAGGAGGAACUCGGAUCAGCUGGAAUGAUCUUUCAGGUAAUCCCUUAACCUAAGAGGAUGUGAAGAUGAGAGAAUGGCCAAGAGUACCUUCCACAAGAUGUCCCACCGUGUUCUGCUGUGAUCACUCUGGAUAGCACUUUCAACUCCACUGCAAGUCAGCCAGGUACAUAAGAAACAGCCGCUCUACUGUUAAAGCCCCAGGAAUGUUUGAAUUUUCACUUCCUGUUUGAUCAGCGUGGAGAGCUCGUCAGCAUGGAGUACACAAGCGUGGAGAGAUCAUCAGUAGGGAGACAAGGCCACAAACCUGCUCCAGCAUGGAGUACACAGGAGGUACUGGAUCUUAUUGCUGAAUGGGGAGAAGAGUCUGUGCAGGCAGAGCUCUGAUCCAGCAGAAGAAACACUGACAUCUAUGCCAGAAUCGCACAGAGCAUGGGGGAGAAGGGCUACACCAAGGAGCUUUGGUAAGAGUACCAGAAGACAAGGGAGGCGAACAGUCAUUCUGGUUCUGCCCCAGAGACAUGCCGCUUUUAUGAGAUGCUGCAUGCGAUUCUCAGCGGUGACCCCACCACUAACCCAAAAUGCUCCAUGGAUACCUCCCAGGAGCCCUGGGCAACCUUGAGCAACAAGGAGGAGGACAUUGUUGAAGUGGAGGGGGAGGAGAAUGCGAGGCAGGCAAGAGGAGGAUCCAUUCUCCCUGACAGCCAAGAACUGCUUUUAACCCUGGAGCCCAUCCCCUCUCAGAACCAGUUGAUGGCGGAGCGUGAUGCCGGGGGCAGCACCUCUGCUGAAAACUUCUCCGUUGGCACAUCCUCCACACUGGGACAGAGACUUUCCCAGAUUAGAAGGCAGAAAAAGAAGACUUGGGAGGACAUGUUCAAUGAGUUAAAGUGUGCCUCUGAGAGUGACAAGAUGGAGCUCAGCGCAUGGGGGAUUACACUGUCCAACAACUUGCAUAAGGACAGGGAGAACAGGAGAACGUGCAGGUAACAAGAGCAUGCCAUGCAGGAAGAGAUGCUGCAGAUUAUGAAGGAGCAAUCAGACAUGUUGAGGCGUCUGGUUGAGAUUCAGGAAAGGCAGCUGGAUGCUAGAGUCCCUCUGCAGCCUAUGCUGAACCUGCUGCCAUUGUCGCCAAGUCCCACAUCCUCCUCUCCCAAACAUCCUAGGAUGGGGGGCAGUGGCGCUGAAACAUUUUUAGUAGUGGGGGUGCUGAAAGCCAGCCUCAUUACCCCUGUCUGCCUCCCCCCAGAGCUGAGACUUGGAGCAGGGCUGUGUCUCCGGGAUGGGGGGACCCAGAGAGGGGUAAGAUGGCCAAGGCUGUGGCUACAGCUGGGGGUGGGGGUGGGGCUAGGAGCAGAGCCCCGGGUAGAGGCCAGCAGCUGGGAUCCCACGUAUGGGGCCAGGUGCAGGGCCCUGGGAGCAGAGGCCUGGGAGCAGGGGAUAGGGCCGGGCACGGGGCCAGCGGCUGGGGAGCAGGGUGUGGGGCUGGCCCCCGGGACCUGAACCGAGAAGUGGAGCCCCGGGCAAGGGGCCAAUGGACCCACAUAAAACUUGGGGGUGCUGCAGCACCCCCCGCACACUUACAUCCUGCACCUAUGAUUUGGGGGGGGGGGGGAGUCCGGUAUCCCUUGCACUCAACUCCAGGGGAUGGUACAAGGACCAGAAAGCACCCAGUCCCACACCUUUGAUUGUUAUUGCAGUGCAAUUGUAAGCAAGCUGUCCUUGUUCCUCCCUCCCGCCCCCCAACCCCCCCCUCCCCCGCCAGUGUUAUCAGCCC